GAUGAACGCUGACAGAAUGCUUAACGCAUGCAAGUCUUUGGCGAAGCUGUGCUUGCACAGCCUAGCCAAGGCGGACGGGUGAGUAACGCGUAAGGAACUUGCCCUGCAGUCAGGGAUAACAGACGGAAACGACUGAUAAGACCUGGUAAAGUCAGGCGGACUCAUGUCCAGCCUGAUGAAAAGAGAUGCUGCAGGAGAGCCUUGCGUCCUAUUAGCUUGUUGGUGGGGUAACGGCCCACCAAGGCGAUGAUAGGUAGCCGGCCUGAGAGGGUGGACGGCCACAAGGGGACUGAGAUACGGCCCUUACUCCUACGGGAGGCAGCAGUGGGGAAUAUUGGACAAUGGGGGCAACCCUGAUCCAGCAAUUCUGUGUGCACGAUGAAGGUUUUCGGAUUGUAAAGUGCUUUCAGCAGGGAAGAAAAAAAUGACGGUACCUGCAGAAGAAGCGAUGGCUAAAUACGUG
Molecule: ribosomal RNA, 463 nt
Filed under: uncultured bacterium
Lineage: Bacteria
Description: partial 16S ribosomal RNA
Rfam family: Bacterial small subunit ribosomal RNA
Source: RNAcentral